ACUGAAUUCUCGUCUCAAAAUUCUUGUCUUAGAUUUGUCUAGAUACGGAUGUAUCAAGUCACAUUUUAGUAUUAGAUACAUCCGUAUCUAGACAAAUGUAAGACAAGAAUUUUGGGACGGAGGGAGUAGAUA
Molecule: non-coding RNA, 132 nt
Organism: Triticum aestivum (bread wheat)
Lineage: Eukaryota; Viridiplantae; Streptophyta; Magnoliopsida; Poales; Poaceae
Source: Rfam